RNAcentral lists this ribosomal RNA (424 nucleotides) under uncultured bacterium. Its description in RNAcentral is "bacterial SSU rRNA". It matches the Rfam family "Bacterial small subunit ribosomal RNA", at positions 1067 to 1503 of the family's 1533-position model. The record is from RNAcentral.
GUGAGAUGUUGGGUUAAGUCCCGCAACGAGCGCAACCCUCACUUUUAGUUGCCAUCAUUAAGUUGGACACUCUGAAAGAACUGCCAGUGAUAAGCUGGAGGAAGGUGGGGAUGACGUCAAGUCCUCAUGGCCCUUACGUGUUGGGCUACACACGUGCUACAAUGGUAUCUACAACAGGAAGCAAGACUGCGAAGUUAAGCAAAUCCUUAAAAGAUACCUCAGUUCGGAUUGCACUCUGCAACUCGAGUGCAUGAAGCUGGAAUUACUAGUAAUCGUGGAUCAGCGUGCCACGGUGAAUGCGUUCCCGGGUCUUGUACACACCGCCCGUCACAUCAUGGGAGUUGGUUCUACCUUAAGGCAAGGUUUCAAACCCUUGACCACGGUAUAGUCAGCGACUGGGGUGAAGUCGUAACAAGGUAGCCUA